UGGGGAAUAUUGCACAAUGGGCGAAAGCCUGAUGCAGCGACGCCGCGUGAGGGAUGACGGCCUUCGGGUUGUAAACCUCUUUCAGCAGGGAAGAAGCGAAAGUGACGGUACCUGCAGAAGAAGCACCGGCUAACUACGUGCCAGCAGCCGCGGUAAUACGUAGGGUGCGAGCGUUGUCCGGAAUUAUUGGGCGUAAAGAGCUCGUAGGCGGCUUGUCACGUCGGAUGUGAAAGCCCGGGGCUUAACCCCGGGUCUGCAUUCGAUACGGGCAGGCUAGAGUGUGGUAGGGGAGAUCGGAAUUCCUGGUGUAGCGGUGAAAUGCGCAGAUAUCAGGAGGAACACCGGUGGCGAAGGCGGAUCUCUGGGCCAUUACUGACGCUGAGGAGCGAAAGCGUGGGGAGCGAACA
RNAcentral lists this ribosomal RNA (407 nucleotides) under uncultured Streptomyces sp. RNAcentral describes it as "bacterial SSU rRNA". It matches the Rfam family "Bacterial small subunit ribosomal RNA", at positions 355 to 774 of the family's 1533-position model. Lineage: Bacteria; Bacillati; Actinomycetota; Actinomycetes; Kitasatosporales; Streptomycetaceae. The record is from RNAcentral.